This 427-nucleotide ribosomal RNA is filed under the name uncultured bacterium. RNAcentral's name for it is "bacterial SSU rRNA". It matches the Rfam family "Bacterial small subunit ribosomal RNA", at positions 355 to 774 of the family's 1533-position model. The record is from RNAcentral.
UGGGGAAUCUUGCGCAAUGCGCGAAAGCGUGACGCAGCAACGCCGCGUGGGGGAAGACGGCCUUCGGGUUGUAAACCCCUUUCAGGAGGGACGAAGGUUCACCGGUGAAUAGCCGUGUGGAUUGACGGUACCUCCACAAGAAGCUCCGGCUAACUACGUGCCAGCAGCCGCGGUAAUACGUAGGGAGCAAGCGUUGUCCGGAAUCAUUGGGCGUAAAGCGCGCGUAGGUGGCCUCAUAAGUCCGCUGUGAAAGUCAAAGGCUCAACCUUUGAAAGCCGGUGGAUACUGUGGGGCUAGAGUACGGAAGAGGCGAGUGGAAUUCCUGGUGUAGCGGUGGAAUGCGCAGAUAUCAGGAGGAACACCAAUAGCGAAGGCAGCUCGCUGGGACGUUACUGACACUAAGGCGCGAAAGCGUGGGGAGCGAACA